UGCCCUUGAGGCGUGGCUUCCGGAGCUAACGCGUUAAGUCGACCGCCUGGGGAGUACGGCCGCAAGGUUAAAACUCAAAUGAAUUGACGGGGGCCCGCACAAGCGGUGGAGCAUGUGGUUUAAUUCGAUGCAACGCGAAGAACCUUACCUACUCUUGACAUCCAGAGAACUUACCAGAGAUGCUUUGGUGCCUUCGGGAACUCUGAGACAGGUGCUGCAUGGCUGUCGUCAGCUCGUGUUGUGAAAUGUUGGGUUAAGUCCCGCAACGAGCGCAACCCUUAUCCUUUGUUGCCAGCGGUCCGGCCGGGAACUCAAAGGAGACUGCCAGUGAUAAACUGGAGGAAGGUGGGGAUGACGUCAAGUCAUCAUGGCCCUUACGAGUAGGGCUACACACGUGCUACAAUGGCGCAUACAAAGAGAAGCGACCUCGCGAGAGCAAGCGGACCUCAUAAAGUGCGUCGUAGUCCGGAUUGGAGUCUGCAACUCGACUCCAUGAAGUCGGAAUCGCUAGUAAUCGUAGAUCAGAAUGCUACGGUGAAUACGUUCCCGGGCCUUGUACACACCGCCCGUCACACCAUGGGAGUGGGUUGCAAAAGAAGUAGGUAGCUUAACCUUCGGGAGGGCGCUUACCACUUUGUGAUUCAUGACUGGGGUGAAGUCGUAACAAGGUAACCAA
RNAcentral lists this ribosomal RNA (676 nucleotides) under Enterobacter ludwigii. RNAcentral describes it as "bacterial SSU rRNA". It matches the Rfam family "Bacterial small subunit ribosomal RNA", at positions 827 to 1503 of the family's 1533-position model. The record is from RNAcentral. Lineage: Bacteria; Pseudomonadati; Pseudomonadota; Gammaproteobacteria; Enterobacterales; Enterobacteriaceae.